This 2232-nucleotide long non-coding RNA is filed under the name Helianthus annuus (common sunflower). RNAcentral describes it as "hypothetical non coding rna". Lineage: Eukaryota; Viridiplantae; Streptophyta; Magnoliopsida; Asterales; Asteraceae. The record is from RNAcentral.
UUUGCCGCAAACCUUCCGCCAUAAGCUCUCACAACUUCUUUGAUCCUGAGUAGGGGGGAAAUAUGAGGAUUUGCUUGACUUACGAUAAAAUGAUUAACAUUAAAGAGCUCUUUCAGUUGCAUCAUCGGUAGAUCUAUCUCCAAGCUACCGUCCCUCCAACGACGUGUAGAACUCCCAUUGGCUUCUUCCGGGCCCCAGUGGAACGGUGGGUGAUAUGGAACAAGUUCUCCACUUCUAUCCUUUGCCAUAAGCUCCUGAGCUUCAAAAAGGCCUGGGAAAGCACAAGAAGCGGUAACCGCACUCCAUAUAACAACAUGCGGUGACGUUAAGUAGUUAAGACAUCUUGGAGGUUCGUGUUUUCUUGGUGAGCAUACGGUUAUGCCAAGAACACGACCCGUCAUGUCGUAAGCUUCUUGAAAUGUAAGAUUAUUUGUCAGGUUUCUUAAUAGCACCUGCAAACAUCUAAUGUCGUGUAGCGCUCCGAGAGUCGUAACCCUCUUGAAAAUACUGAAAAUUCCACCCAAUUGACCGAAAAACUGAAAAGAAUCAAACGAUUCCUCAAAAAAACUUUGAACCUCAGGCCAUGACUUGGUGGCGAUAACAGCACAGAUAAUGGAUCCAACGCUAGACCCCGCGAUUAUUCGGGGCAAAAGCUUAUGUUCUACUAAUGUUUUCACUACACCUACGUGAAAAGCCCCGAGAGAAGCACCACCGCUUAGAAGCAAAGCUGUUCUUCCAAAAGCAUGUCUUGUCUCGUGCAUAAACGCAAGCCGUUCUUCCAAAAGAAGUUCUUCACAGUCGGAAUCACAAACCAUCCUUAACUGCGUUGAAACCUCAUCGAUAUACUCUUUUAUAAGCUUCGGUACUUGAUGUCUACCCUUAUGAAGCUCAGGGUUGCACAUAUUACCAAGAUUUCUAACCAAAUCGGCCCGCAUAUAAAAUAUAACAUCUCGUAAACAACCUUCUUGACGACGGUGCCUAAGCUCUUGAAGUUUGUUCCUCACAAGCUCUUCAUCGUAAAGAUUAAACUCGUUCAUUCUCGGUGUUUCCUUAUCCAACAUCUUAGCCGCAUGAGCCCAUUCCUCAUACGUCACCGCAGCCCGCAUCAUAUUCCUCCAAAACUUCCUCUUGUAAGCCAUCUCAGCUCUUGUUUUCACAUUCGUGCACCGUUUAAGCAAAAACGCCAUUACCGUCACCAACACUAGUAUCCCUUGCGGGUUGCGCGGAUGCAACCACGAUAUCACCGGCACAACCGUACCCGACACAUAACCCCUAAUGGUUCUAAAGUAAUAAACCAACAGAUUACUUAUAUGCAGCCUCAAGUGUGACAUUGACUUCAAGAACAGAACUUUAAAAGCUAUAGUCCUGCCAAAAACCGAUGACGGUCCGAUCGAAAACGCUUCAACAGUCGCCUCGCUACUUAAAUCCAUUAUCUAAGCCCAAGAUUCUAACUUUCUAACCCUAAUAUGUAUUCUAUUAACACCCAAUUCACCAGAACUUCUAGUCUUUACAAAAAUCAAAUCUUUUUACAACUACACAUCAAUAAUCAAUGAUCAAGAUAACUGACCUAAACGGCUAAACCCACAUCAAUUUCCUAUAAUUUCAGGUGAAUGAUAACAGAAAUCAAACAAUUAUGAUCAAAGAUUAGAGUGACGUAACGGCAACGAUGAAGUAUGAUCAAGAAUAGAGUACCGUAACUGCAACGAAGAGGUGCAACGUGUCUUCCGUUAAUUCAAUAUCGUAUGCGUGUUAGGCAAGUCUGUAUUGACAAGAUGAGUGAUUGAUAGAUGGGUAGAGAGAGAGAGAGAGAGAGAGAGAGAGAGAGAGAAUGAAGUUUGAAGUUGUGGUUGUGUGGAUGAUCGGGUUGUAGUUAGACUUCACAGUGAAGGAUGGAAGGAUUUGGGGAAGAAAGAACCGAAGAACAAGUUGUUUGAUCGGUUGCCUUAUCCGUUUCGAGAUAGAGAUACUAUUGAGCAUGACCCACUCUGCCCACCCUAUAUGAUACAACCUUGAAUCAAACAAAAUCACUUUUAGAGUUGAUUAUGUAUUUAUGUAUAUACCCCUUGUCAUUUGAUAGACUAACACAAACUUCUAUUUUAUUCUUCCUCCUCCUUAAUCAAUUGUUGACAAAUGAGAAUAUCGAUUAUUUUAUCGAAAACUUUUCUUUCUAAAUCCGUCACUGAUUUUACUACCCAUUCACAAUUUGGAGACAGACACAUAGUGGACAAGUAA